AUGGGGCAAGAGGAGGCUGGGAAGGGGCAGGAGCCAGGAGUACUCCCUGUCUGGGUGGUGAGGGAAAGCCAGGGCUGGGUCCAGGCUUUGCCACUGGGUGCUGGCACUCAGGGGUGUUCCAGGCAGUGCCAAUCCAGGCAGUGCCAUUCCCAGAUAAUGGCAUUCCAGGGAAGUGCCAGUUCCAGGCAGUGCCAUCCCCAGGCAGUGCCAUUGCCAGGGGGCAGUGCCAUCCCCAGGCAGUGCCAUCCCCAGGCAGUGCCAUCCCCAGGCAGUGCCAUCCCCAGGCAGUGCCAAUCCCAGGCAGUGCCAUCCCCAGGUGGCAGUGCCAUCCCCAGGCAGUGCCACUCCCAGGCAGUGCCAUUCCCAGGCAGUGCCAUCCCCAGGCAGUGCCAUCCCCAGGCGGCAGUGCCAUCCCCAGGCAGUGCCAUCCCCAGGCGGCAGUGCCAUCCCCAGGCAGUGCCACUCCCAGGCAGUGCCAUUCCCAGGCAGUGCCAUCCCCAGGCAGUGCCACUCCCAGGCAGUGCCAUUCCCAGGCAAUGCCAAUCCCAGGCAGAGCCAUUCCCGGGCACUCUCCUGGGGGCAGCAGCAUCCCCAGGAGGUUUCUCCACCCUCGGAGGUCGAGCUCUGGCUGUGCUGCUGCUCCAGGCCAGGCUGAGGAGCUGCUGGUGCCCUCCAGCAGCCGAGGGACAGGGAGGGGACAGCUCCUGGCUGCUCUGGGGAAACCUUUCCAACCCCUUUGGAGCCAUCCUGGCACGCAGGGACACUGAGAGCAGCCUGGCACAGCCGAGGGCAGGCACUGAGCCCUCUGACAAGCCAUGGGAGUUUGUCUCCAGUCUUUGCAGGAAAACCAAGCCCCAGGAGCGUCCAGACCAACCAGCCCUGCCUGGGGCCAGGGAGAGCUGUGGGGGCAGGAGGAUGAGGAGCAAAGGGCUGCUCUGGGCUGGAGAAGGGUCCCUGGGAUCUCUGGUCCCUUCCAGGCCAGCUCCACCUGCACCCCAGCUGGCUCCAGGUGCUGUCCUGACCCAUUCUGGGCAUCUCCAGGGAUAUCCCAGCUCUGAGGGCCCUGCCUGCCUCCCUGCUGGCUCUGCCCCCACGGGGGACACGGGGACUGCUGGCAGGGUCAGGGUGCUGCAUUUAUUUCCCUCCUCCUGCCUGGAAGUGCCUGGGCUGGGCCAAAUUCCACAUUGGAUGGAAAACUGCUGGCCCAGGAAUGGAGGGUGA
Molecule: long non-coding RNA, 1221 nt
Organism: Camarhynchus parvulus
Lineage: Eukaryota; Metazoa; Chordata; Aves; Passeriformes; Thraupidae
Source: Ensembl